This 310-nucleotide unclassified non-coding RNA is filed under the name uncultured fungus. Its description in RNAcentral is "sequence contains ITS2". The stretch from base 1 to 52 matches the Rfam family "5.8S ribosomal RNA", at positions 103 to 154 of the family's 154-position model. Lineage: Eukaryota; Fungi. The record is from RNAcentral.
AACGCACCUUGCGCUCCCUGGCAUUCCGGGGAGCAUGUCUGUUUGAGUGUCAUGAACUCUUCAACCCACCAGUUUCUUGUAAACUGAUUGGUGUUUGGAUUCUGAGCGUUGCUGGAUCUUCGGAUCGUAGCUCGUUCGUAAUAUAUUAGCAACUCUAAUUCGAAAUCGGAUUGACUCAGUGUAAUAGACUAUUCGCUGAGGACACUUGCCUUGUGCUGGUGGCCGAAUGAGAUCUCAGUAGAAGCUUCCAACUACAGUAGUCAACUAUAUUUUAGACCUCAGAUCAGUCAGGAUUACCCGCUGAACUUAA